AGUCGUAACAAGGUUUCCGUAGGUGAACCUGCGGAAGGAUCAUUAACAAAAUCUAUCAUAUUGACCCGUUGAACCGUGCGCAUGCAUUGAUUUACUGAGGAAAGCUGAGUGAGUUCUUCUCAUUCGCCUUUCUCGGUGGUCGAUGCAGGUGCUGCGUGUAAGGCUUUGGCAUCAGUUCGAUGCGGCUUUACAUUGUCUAUAAGUCUAUAUUUUGUCCCAAUAUACAAAUAACCUAGUACAACUAUUAACAGUGGAUCUCUAGGCUCCCA
Molecule: unclassified non-coding RNA, 269 nt
Filed under: fungal sp.
Lineage: Eukaryota; Fungi
Description: partial internal transcribed spacer region
Rfam family: Eukaryotic small subunit ribosomal RNA (bases 1-45)
Source: RNAcentral